UACGUAGGGGGCAAGCGUUGUCCGGAUUUAUUGGGCGUAAAGAGCGUGUAGGCGGCUAGGUAGGUCCGUUGUGAAAACUCGAGGCUCAACCUCGAGACGUCGAUGGAAACCAUCUAGCUAGAGUCCGGAAGAGGAGAGUGGAAUUCCUGGUGUAGCGGUGAAAUGCGCAGAUAUCAGGAGGAACACCGGUGGCGAAGGCGGAUCUCUGGGCCAUUACUGACGCUGAGGAGCGAAAGCGUGGGGAGCGAACAGG
RNAcentral lists this ribosomal RNA (253 nucleotides) under uncultured bacterium. RNAcentral's name for it is "partial 16S ribosomal RNA". It matches the Rfam family "Bacterial small subunit ribosomal RNA", at positions 524 to 776 of the family's 1533-position model. The record is from RNAcentral.